CAGGAUGAACGCUGGCGGCGUGCCUAAUACAUGCAAGUCGAACGGAGAUGAAGGGGCUUGCUCCUUUAUCUUAGUGGCGAACGGGUGAGUAACACGUAGGUAACCUGCCCUUUAGCUUGGGAUACCCAGAGGAAACUUUGGCUAAUACCGGAUAACAACAACCGAGGCAUCUCGGAUGCUUGAAAGGCCCUUUUGGGUCACUAAAGGAUGGACCUGCGGCGCAUUAGCUAGUUGGUGAGAUAAUAGCCCACCAAGGCGAGGAUGCGUAGCCGAACUGAGAGGUUGAUCGGCCACAAUGGAACUGAGACACGGUCCAUACUCCUGCGGGAGGCAGCAGUAAGGAGUUUUCGGCAAUGGGGGAAACCCUGACCGAGCAACGCCGCGUGAGUGAUGACGGCCCUAUGGGUUGUAAAGCUCUGUUGUAGGGGAAGAAAUGUAAGGGUAGUGGAAUGACCUUUACUUGACGGUACCUUACCAGAAAGCCACGGCUAACUACGUGCCAGCCGCCGC
This 510-nucleotide ribosomal RNA is filed under the name uncultured bacterium. RNAcentral's name for it is "bacterial SSU rRNA". It matches the Rfam family "Bacterial small subunit ribosomal RNA", at positions 25 to 518 of the family's 1533-position model. The record is from RNAcentral.